GGAGGGAGCUAGCGUUGUUCGGAAUUACUGGGCGUAAAGCGUGCGUAGGCGGUUAUUCAAGUCAGAGGUGAAAGCCCGGGGCUCAACCCCGGAACGGCCUUUGAAACUAGAUAGCUAGAAUCUUGGAGAGGUUAGUGGAAUUCCGAGUGUAGAGGUGAAAUUCGUAGAUAUUCGGAAGAACACCAGUGGCGAAGGCGACUAACUGGACAAGUAUUGACGCUGAGGUACGAAAGCGUGGGGAGCAAACAGGAUUAGAUACCCUGGUAGUCCACGCCGUAAACGAUGAUAACUAGCUGUCCGGGCACUUGGUGUUUGGGUGGCGCAGCUAACGCAUUAAGUUAUCCGCCUGGGGAGUACGGUCGCAAGAUUA
RNAcentral lists this ribosomal RNA (370 nucleotides) under uncultured bacterium. RNAcentral describes it as "bacterial SSU rRNA". It matches the Rfam family "Bacterial small subunit ribosomal RNA", at positions 527 to 896 of the family's 1533-position model. The record is from RNAcentral.